This 381-nucleotide long non-coding RNA is filed under the name Homo sapiens (human). RNAcentral describes it as "HSALNT0210812". Lineage: Eukaryota; Metazoa; Chordata; Mammalia; Primates; Hominidae. The record is from RNAcentral.
AAAAAUGACAAAAAAUAAGCAAAACAUACUAUGUUAGAUAGUGAUAAGUGAUGAAGUGAAAAUAAGAGAGGACUCACAAUUUUUGAGAGGGUAAUAGAGGGACCAGAGAAGGCUCAUGAGGAGGUGACAUUGGAGUUAAGUGACAGAGUGAGGAAAUUGGCCAUGCAGCUAACUGGAGGAACAAUAUUCCAGGCAGAAAGAACAGCAAGUGCAAAGUCGCUGCAAGUGGCCAUGUUCCUGGCAGAUUGGAGGAACAGACUGCUUUGGAUGCUGUGUGGAGAGUAGACAAUGGAGCUAAGGGCAAAAGGGAGAUCAGUCAGAAGUUAUUGCUGGCUUGGACCCAGGCAAUAAUAGGUGGAGAGGUAAGUGGACAUAUUUUAG